RNAcentral lists this ribosomal RNA (382 nucleotides) under uncultured eukaryote. Its description in RNAcentral is "partial 18S ribosomal RNA". It matches the Rfam family "Eukaryotic small subunit ribosomal RNA", at positions 592 to 976 of the family's 1831-position model. The record is from RNAcentral.
CAAUAGCGUAUAUUAAAGUUGUUGCGGUAAAAAAGCUCGUAGUUGGAUUUCUGUCGUUUAGCUAGCCGGUCAGAACUUCGUUCUUGCAUCUGGCUUGGCUGCGGCAUCCACAUAGGGAACGUUAUUGCGCUUAAUUGCGUGGUGCGGUAUCUAUGUCUUUUACUUUGAGGAAAUUAGAGUGUUCACGGCAGGCAAUCGCCUUGAAUAUAUUAGCAUGGAAUAAUAACAUAGGAUCUUGGUCUUAUUUUGUUGGUUUCUAGGGCUAAGAUAAUGAUUAAUAGGGAUAAUUGGGGGUAUCUGUAUCAACGCGUCAGAGGUGGAAUUCUUGGAUUGCGUUGCGACAAACUACUGCGAAAGCAUUUACCAAGGAUGUUUNCAUUGA